This 253-nucleotide ribosomal RNA is filed under the name uncultured bacterium. Its description in RNAcentral is "partial 16S ribosomal RNA". It matches the Rfam family "Bacterial small subunit ribosomal RNA", at positions 524 to 776 of the family's 1533-position model. The record is from RNAcentral.
GAAGGAGGGUGCAAGCGUCGUUCGGAAUUACUGGGCGUAAAGCGCGUGUAGGCGGCUUGCUAAGUCUGAUGUGAAAGCCCGGGGCUCACCCCCGGAAGUGCAUUGGAAACUGGCGAGCUCGAGUCCCGGAGAGGAGGGUGGAAUUCCUGGUGUAGCGGUGAAAUGCGUAGAUAUCAGGAGGAACACCGGUGGCGAAGGCGGCCCUCUGGACGGUGACUGACGCUGAGACGCGAAAGCGUGGGGAGCAAACAGG